ACUCUCUCAGGGUCGCAUCUGGAGAGCUUCCAGUGGUCUACCAGUUUCGACUACAGGAGGGAGAGUCAAGCAGAGGCCUACCCAUUUCCAUUCCUAGUUUGGACAGCGGCUAGCGAGUGGAAGGCAAUCUGCUACAAGU
This is a non-coding RNA of Ornithorhynchus anatinus (platypus), 139 nucleotides long. NCBI's taxonomy places the organism in Eukaryota, Metazoa, Chordata, Mammalia, Monotremata, Ornithorhynchidae. The record is from Rfam.